RNAcentral lists this long non-coding RNA (3970 nucleotides) under Marmota monax (woodchuck). Lineage: Eukaryota; Metazoa; Chordata; Mammalia; Rodentia; Sciuridae. The record is from RNAcentral.
AGAAGAAACCUCCGCAGUCCUAGAAAGUCCUUCGGAAGAGAUAGACGGGGAAAAUCCGGAAGAGAUUCUUAGAGAGGCACAGAGUUCUUCUCCACCAUGUGGCUUAGAAGCCCAAUUUCAAAAUGGUGACAGCGCAGAUUCUACCCACGAGUCGCAGUCUGAGGGAGAAGAAUCACACGUUGAAAUUCAGGACUUACAGAGAAAUUUUAACAGGCUGCGUUUAACACCGCCUGCCCAGGCUAUUAGAAUUCGGCCAUUACCUGCUAAAAGGACAAAAUUUAACAGGUACUCUGAAUUAACAAUGACUUUUCUUACCCCGUUCCAGCGAGGUAUUAAGAAAGCACAGGAAGCCGGGGAAGAUAUUAGCGGUUUUCAACUUUUUCCAGUUUUUGAACAGAUUAAUGAGCAAGAUCAGAGAGUUAGAGUUCAUGCUGUAAUCCCAUUUAAAACCAUUAAGGAACUAAAAAGUGCAUGCGAGACCUAUGGUCUGAAUACGCCUUUUGUACAGAGUCUAAUAGAUAAUAUCUGCUCGCAGCCCCUCCCACCUAGUGAUUGGAUUUCGUUAGCCAGAUCUUGUUUGAGUGGAGGAGAUUUCUUACUCUGGCGUUCUUAUUGGACUGAUUUUUGUACUGAACAGGCAGAAAAGAAUAGAAGACAAAAUUUACAGACUCCAGUAGAAAUGUUUUUAGGAACGGGUGAAUUUGCCGAUUUAGAAAGACAGUUAAAUUAUGAAUUUGUAGUAUAUGAUCAAAUAACUGAUUGUGCUAAAUGUGCCUGGAAGCAAAUAGUCUCUAAAGACCAAUCCAAUUUAGUUCUUACCAAAAUCAGGCAGGGUGCGAGUGAGCCGUACUCAGAUUUCGUAGCCUGAUUGUAUCAUACUACAAACAGGUCUAUCGGGGACCCGGGGGUGUGCGAAUUUAUUGUUAAGAAAUUGGCAUUUGAAAAUGCGAAUAAAUAUUGUCAAGACGUUCUUAGGCCGCACCGUAAAAAAGGGACAGUUUCUGAGUUUAUCCGCUUGUGUUCUGAGAUAGACUCUACUCAUUUGCAGACAGUAGCCCUAGCUGCGGCACUAAAGGAAACACUAAGGCCGCAAGAAUUAGUAUGAAAGCCCCGCGGGAGGUGCUAUGUUUGUGGGAGAAAUAACCAUUUUGCGCGCGAAUGUCGCAUGCGCAAUUUUAAGUUCAGGGCUCCAUGUACUGUUGAUAAUAGAUAUUGCAGGACUCAACCCCACGUGGCAGAUCAAGAUGGUGCGGAUGAGCCCACCUUCUUGUCAUCAUUUCCGCCUGGCCGGAACACAAACUUCCAUUCGGCCCUCCCCCGGGGCCGAGAAUGAGGAAGUAGGUGAUGGUUGUGCAAUGUGACGUCAUCGCGCCAACCAUGGGGGCCGCCAUCUUUAUUUUACCAGAGUGGAACAAACAGUUUCUGUACAAACCCCUAAUGAUUUUCAAGGCUUUUAAGAGAUAUUAAUUGGCUGAGGCCAUCCUUAAAACUAACUACUUCUGAUUUAAGUCCUUUAUUUCAGAUAUUACAAGGAAAUCCUUCUCCAACCUCUCCAUGUCAGCUAACCUUAGAGGCUAGAACAGCGUUAAAAAGAGUUGAAAAUGCAAUUAAAAAUGCACAGAUUACUAGAGUUGAUCCUAAAGAAAUAGUGUAUUUAUUAAUAUUUCCAACUGGGCAUACCCCAACAGGAGCCAUAUGGAAAAGAUUAGGAGUUAUUGAGUGGAUUUAUUUAUCCCACUCCCCUCAAAAAACAUUAAUUCCUUUCCAUGACUUUAUAGCUCAGUUAGUGAUUAAAGGUAGAACUAGGAUUUUACAAUUAAUUGGAUCUGAGCCUGAUAUCAUAAUUAUUCCAUUUUCUGUUCAACAGACUAAUUGGCUUUUUCAAACUUCUAGCUUAUGGCAGAUAGCUUUUGCUGAUUUUCCUGGCCAGAUAGAUAGCCAUUACCCUCGUGAUAAGAUUAUCCAAUUUGCAUCAUUAACGUCACUUAUUUUUCCAAAGAUUGUACAUGCACAUCCUAUAGAUGAAGCUUUAUCGGAGUUCACUGAUGGUUCAAGCUCAGGUAAAGCAGGUUUUUAUAGUCGUGUUCACACAGAGGUAAUGCAAACUUCUUAUACUUCUGCCCAAAGAGCAGAGCUUCAAGCUCUAAUUUGUGCCUUAAAUUACUUUUCAAAUGAGCCUAUUAAUAUUUAUUCUGACAGCUUAUAUGCAGCCGGAGUUACUAAAAAUAUUGAAACUUCAGUUAUUGGGUAUACUUUAUCACAAGAGUUAUUUGAAUUAUUUCAUAAUUUACAGAAGGCAGUGCUAAUGCAGAAAUACCCAUGUUUCAUAGGACACAUACAAGCUCAUACUAAUCUUCCAGGACCCUUUGUUUCAGGUAAUGACAAAAUUGAUAAAUUAGUAGCUUUUUGUCAACAGAUGUCUUCAUAUGACUGUGCACUAGCUUCCCAUUCCUUGCAUCAUUAAAAUGCUUCUAGCUUACGUAAAAAAUUUAAUAUUACCAGAGAACAAGCUCGUCAAAUUGUAAGCCAAUGUCCUAAGUGUGUUAUUCACACUCCAUCUCCACCAACAGGGGUAAAUCCCUGUGGAUUAAAACCAAAUCAAAUAUGGCAAAUGGAUGUAACUCAUAUUCCUCAAUUUGGUAAGCAAUGUUAUGUGCAUGUCAUAGUGGACACUUAUUCAAGAUUUAUUUUUGCCACAGCACGUACUAAGGAAAAUACUCAACAUGUAAUUUCUCAUUGCCUAACAGCUUUUUCUGUGUUAGGGUGCCCUAUGCAGAUUAAAACAGAUAAUGCUCCAGCUUAUGUAAGCUCUUCUUUUCAACAAUUUUGCCAAGAGUUUAAAAUUAAUCAUAAAACAGGAAUUCCUUAUAACCCCCAAGGUCAAGCCAUUGUGGAACGAGCUCAUUUAUCUAUUAAGCUCCAAUUACAAAAAUUAAAAGGGGGGAAUAGGGUUAUGACUCCCCAAAAUAGCCUCAAUCAUGCUUUGUUCAUUUUAAAUUUUUUAAACUGUGACGCAGAAGGUCACACUGCUGCUGAGAGGCAAAUGUCUCCCUCAGUAACAGGCCCUUUAGGCAGAGUUUUGUGGAAAGAUUUACAGACUGGUCAAUGGAAAGGCCCAGAUCCAGUGCUUAUGUGGGGCAGAGGUCAUGCUUUUAUCUUUCCAGAAAGUGCUUUUUGUCCUAUCUGGGUUCCUGAAUGCGCGAUCAGACAUGGAAGAGAUAGAACCGAGAUUCAAACGACUGAAGAUUGACCCGGAGGAGCCCCCAUCCAAAAGGAAGAGAUAUCGGAAAAAGAUGAAGAAAAACCAGAUUGACCCAGCCGAAAAGCUGAUUUCAUGGGAAGAUGUAAAGAAACUAACAACACAGGCUUCCCGAAUACUUCGACUCCUAGGAGAGAACAGGACCCCAGUGAUGAUGGUAGCAACAGUAAUUGCCCUGUUGGGCUGUCAGGUAAAGGGGGAUCAAGUAGACACUUACUGGACAUAUUUCCCAGAUCCACCCCUGGUACACCCAGCUGUGUGGACUGGAGAAUCUAUUCCAGUAUUUAGUAAUGACUCAUUCAUGAUGGGAGGAUUUACAGAUACUCAUAUUACUCCCAAUCAUGUGACUAGAUUUAAUUAUUCUGGCUACAGUGCCCAAUUACCUUUGUGUUGGUCCCACAAUAAACAUGCUGGCUGUCUGAAAGUAUCAUUCGAGGAAAAGACAGUGAUUGAUAGACCUAGACUGACAAAUAAUUCUAUUUAUGGAGACUUAAAACCUUAUACUAGAUCAAUAAUUAAGAUGGGACUUUCCCAUAACAAGCCAGUCAUUUCUGCAAAACCUCCAUGGAUACCCCACUGUCCAAAUAGUUCUACAAUUGAGAUUGGCACCUUUCCUAGAUGGAUGGAUUGUGUAAAUACUUUUCCUGUACAACACAAGGUGUCUAAAGAUAGUGGGUAUAUUUUAGACUGGUCUCCAAAAAUUGAUAAAAG